CCAGACUCCUACGGGAGGCAGCAGUCGGGAAUAUUGCGCAAUGGAGGAAACUCUGACGCAGUGACGCCGCGUAUAGGAAGAAGGUUUUCGGAUUGUAAACUAUUGUCGUUAGGGAAGAUAAAAGACUGUACCUAAGGAGGAAGCCCCGGCUAACUAUGUGCCAGCAGCCGCGGUAAUACAUAGGGGGCAAGCGUUAUCCGGAAUUAUUGGGUGUAAAGGGAGUGCAGGCGGCUUGGCAAGUCUGAUGUGAAAGGCUGGGGCUCAACCCCGGUACUGCAUUGGAAACUACCGGACUGGAGUGUCGGAGGGGUAAGUGGAAUUCCUAGUGUAGCGGUGAAAUGCGUAGAUAUUAGGAGGAACACCAGUGGCGAAGGCGGCUUACUGGACGAUCACUGACGCUGAGGCUCGAAAGUGUGGGGAGCAAACAGGAUUAGAUACCCUGGUAC
This 446-nucleotide ribosomal RNA is filed under the name uncultured bacterium. RNAcentral describes it as "bacterial SSU rRNA". It matches the Rfam family "Bacterial small subunit ribosomal RNA", at positions 331 to 793 of the family's 1533-position model. The record is from RNAcentral.